RNAcentral lists this ribosomal RNA (253 nucleotides) under uncultured bacterium. RNAcentral's name for it is "partial 16S ribosomal RNA". It matches the Rfam family "Bacterial small subunit ribosomal RNA", at positions 524 to 776 of the family's 1533-position model. The record is from RNAcentral.
GACAGAGGCCUCGAGCGUUAGGCGGAAUCACUGGGCUUAAAGCGUGUGUAGGCGGGCCCGCAAGUGUCUUGUGAAAUCCCACGGCUCAACCGUGGAACUGCUGGGCAUACUGCGGGUCUUGGGCCAACUAGGGGCAGCCGGAACAAGCGGUGGAGCGGUGAAAUGCGUAGAUAUCGCUUGGAACGCCGAAGGUGAAAACAGGCUGCUGGGGUUGCGCCGACGCUGAGACACGAAAGCCAGGGGAGCAAACAGG